ACAGAACAGUGUCAGUAGGAGAUAAUAGAACCAUCCAUCAUGUUCCUCACAUAUUCUAGGUUCAAACGGAAAGGAGGGUGCGAAGGGAUGUCAGGGAUGUCGGGGGUCCGGGCCGGGGCCGAGGCGGCGUUCCAGAGCGCCCACCUGGACGAACAAACCGCCCACGAAGAUUGCCCAGAGGAUGUAAAAGGGGCGUUCCUAUUCAAGCUAAAGUCCGGAGUAUCGGCAGUGAGCGGAAACGCAAAUCGUGUUUUUCGACGGGAAGGAGCGUACAAUCGGUACGAUUUCAAGGAUGCUAACGAGGGGAUCGAUAAAACGGUGAACGGCGGGGAUUACUGUGAAACGGAUCUGUCUAUGCCGGAGGAGUACCCGGAGCUGGAACGUCCUCCGCUCCGUAAGAUCGACAAAUACUGUCAACCAGAGUGUCCAUGUUGUAAUGUGUCCAAACGUUAUACACAGGCUAUCCUUGUUAUGGUUGGGUUCAUUAUUUCAUUUGGAAUCCGUUGCAACGUUGGUGUGGCGCAGGUCAGGAUGAUGUCCAACACGACCAACGAGAAGGGAGAGGUUACGGAGAUCAGUGAGUUCCACUGGAGCCCUGAGACUAUUGGAUACGUGGACGCGUCCUUCUUCUGGGGAUACAUCAUCACCCAGCUUCCCGGGGGGUUCCUGGCCUCAAGGUUUCCGGCAAACAGACUUUUUGGAACUGCCAUUUUCCUCUCAUCUUGUCUCAACCUUCUCAUUCCGGCUGCAACCAUGUUGGAUCCUAAAGCUCUAAUCUUGGUGCGAGUUCUCCAGGGUCUGGUUGAGGGAGUAACUUAUCCAGCUUGUCAUGGUAUCUGGAGAUGGUGGGCUCCUCCUCUUGAGAGAUCAAGGCUGGCAACCCUGGCCUUCUGUGGAUCCUAUGGAGGAGCUGUGCUCGGGAUGCCAAUCAGUGGGUAUCUGGUUCAGUGGAUAGCCUGGUGGGCUCCCUUCUACUUCUACGGAGCUGCUGGUAUCAUCUGGUAUAUGUUCUGGCUCUGGUUGUCCUUUGAGAAGCCUGCAACCCAUCCUUCAAUCUCUCCUAGAGAACAACUCUAUAUAGAGAAAUCUCUAGGAGACUCGAAGGCGAAACAACCAACUAUCAGGGAUACUCCUUGGGCAAAGGUUUUCACGUGUAUGCCGGUAUGGGCGAUCAUUGUCGCUAACUUCGCUCGAUCCUGGACCUUCUAUCUUCUUCUAAUCACCCAACCCAAGUAUUUUAAAGAAGUAUUUGGGAUGGAGGUUGCUGAAGGAGCAACCCUGGCCGCUCUACCCCAUCUGAUCAUGACGAUCAUAGUUCCCCUGGGGGGUCAACUGGCGGACUACCUGAGGCGAAGUGAGAUCCUGAGCACCACCAACGUUAGAAAGCUCUUCAACUGCGGAGGGUUCGGAGGAGAGGCUCUGUUUCUCAUCGUGGUCGCCUGUACCAGGGAUAAACUGGUUGCAGUUAUUGCUCUGAUUAUAGCUGUAGGCUGCAGCGGGUUCGCUAUCUCCGGGUUCAACGUGAACCAUCUGGAUAUAGCUCCCAGAUACGCUUCAAUCCUCAUGGGUAUCAGCAACGGAGUCGGGACAUUUUCAGGUAUGAUUUGCCCCAUCACAGUUGAGCAAUUGACAAAGAAAGGAGGAACCCUGGAAGAAAUCGAAGCAGAAUGGCAAACAGUUUUCCUCAUUGCUAGCGCCAUUCAUAUCUUUGGCGUCAUUUUCUACGCUAUAUUCGCGAGCGGAGAGGUUCAGGAUUGGGCAAAAGCGAAACCUAUGGAUGAAAACUUUGAGAUGGAUUUGGAGAAGCCUAAUACUGGACACGGAGCCAAUAUCAACGUGGAUACCAGCUUCCAGCAGCAGGGGGAGAUGGAGAGUGAGCUUCACGAACCAACACCUGCUGCUUCAUCUGCUAAUCCUUUCACUCAACCCCAGACUAGUAAUCCAUUCAGACAGUGAAUUGGAUCUGUUUAAACCGGAGCUAAUCAGACCAACCAGGUAUCCGAAGCUAAUCAAACCAACCAGGUAUCCGGAGCUAAUCAAACCAACCAGGUAUCCGGAGCUAAUCAAACCAACCAGGUAUCCGGAGCUAAUCAAACCAAUCAAAGGUAGCCGGAGCUAAUCAAACCAACCAGGUAUACGGAGCUAAUCAAACCAACCAGGUAUCCGGAGCUUACCAGACCAAAAAUCGGAGCUAACUAACAAAAGAAUCCGGAGCGAAUCAAACCAACCCGGUUCCCGGAGCUAUCAAACCAAUGAGAAACCCGGAGAACCUAGACCUAGUCCCGCGACAGAGGAAUUUGAAAAUACUCCCCGUCGUCUUAAUCCUAUUAGGAUCCCACUCCGGGACCUAAUUGAUCUUAUUACAAGCUCUGAUCUCAAAUUAGAAACUCAAUGGAUCUCUUCUAAAAGAAACCUAUCAAUGGAAUUUAGUUCCCAAACCGUUAUAUGUACUUUUACUCUUUAGAUAUUACGUAUCUAAAGAUACAAAAUCUACAUCUUGUUAAAAACUUAAAGAAAAUCUUAAACAAAAUUUACAAAAUUUAUAACCUGACCCAAAAUAUCGAAAAUUUUGCUUAAAAAUUUAUAGUUCUUUGUACAUCAGAAAAAUAUUCGAUUCUUAUUUGAAAUAACCAUCAAUUGAAACAGGAAUAAUUCUGAAAAUAAUUAUCAAUGAAAACAGGAAUAAUUCUGAAAAUAAUCAUCAAUGGAAACAGGAAUAAUUCUGAAAUAAUCAUCAAUGGAAACAGGAAUAAUUCUGAAAAUAAUCAUCAAUGGAAACAGGAAUAAUUCUGAAAAUAAUCAUCAAUGGAAACAGGAAUAAUUCUGAAAAUAAUAAUCAAUGGAAAUGAUAAAAUGAUUCUGUAAAUAAAACCAAUGCCAAUGGAACAAAUUAAAUAAAAACUAAUACAAAAAAAAUGACAACCUCAAUGGUAAUAUGGUUGAAAGUGAGUCAGGACUUCAAUUGAGCCGAACAUCAAUAUCUUCUUAAAAGAAUAUCUUGAAAUUGGUCAGGUUGUAAAGUUCUAGGUUCAUUGGCUUCUCUUUAUUUACCCGGUAAUAGCAGUGUUAAAAUUAUAUGUAAGAUGGUUGUGAUUGGAAUAAUUUUCUUCAUCUUCAAGUUUUAUCUUUGUUCACAUUUGAAUUUGUAAAUAUGUUAGCAGCGCAUAGAAUUGACAUCAAUGGAUAAAUAUUUCUUCCCGAGUUAACGGAACCCGGACCUAGUUUCCGGAUCCAUUUUUUUAUGGGUUGGCGGGACCACAUUCCUCUGGGUUAAGUUAACACUAGGAGCUGAGUAUAUUUGUUGUGAUGGAUAAACUAUAUAGAUGUCCUCAAGGUUUUCAUAGGCUUAAGGGUUGAACUGAGAAGAAGGAUCUGAACCGAACCUUCUCCGAGGUUUAGAAAGGAGAACUGAUCUCCUUGUAACCAGUAUUUAGCAUUCUGUUCAAUUCCUGUCAUUUAUAUUGAACUGCUUGCCUAGUACUGGUCCAGGGUCUUCUAUACUUUAUUAUUUAAUUGUUUAUAGUUUAAUUAUAUAUCAUAUCAGGUAUCGGAGACCCUGUUUUCUUAAACAUGUCCGAGGCAAUUUAUUAACUUGUUGAGCGAUUGUAAAACCCGUUGUAUUUAAAUGUUAGUUCGAAAACGAACCUUGUCAAGGCUUUCAUAGAUAGUACAUGUACAGAGGAACCCUGGAUUAGUCUUGAGGUUUCCUUUAUUAUGUACUUGCCCCAACAUCAAUGGAAUUAUUAUAAGAAAUCUUGUUUUUUUUCCAAAUCUCGAUGAUUAAAAUAAAUUUUAAAGUUGU
RNAcentral lists this unclassified non-coding RNA (3802 nucleotides) under Eurytemora carolleeae. RNAcentral describes it as "vesicular glutamate transporter 1". Lineage: Eukaryota; Metazoa; Arthropoda; Copepoda; Calanoida; Temoridae. The record is from RNAcentral.